This 71-nucleotide transfer RNA is filed under the name Apalone ferox (Florida softshell turtle). RNAcentral describes it as "tRNA-Ile". It matches the Rfam family "tRNA". Rfam says of the family: Transfer RNA (tRNA) molecules are approximately 80 nucleotides in length. Their secondary structure includes four short double-helical elements and three loops (D, anti-codon, and T loops). Lineage: Eukaryota; Metazoa; Chordata; Testudines; Trionychidae. The record is from RNAcentral.
GGACAUGUGCCUGAAUCCAAAGGGUUACCUUGAUAGGGUAAAUAAUAGAGGUUUAAAUCCUCUCAUUUCCU